Molecule: small nuclear RNA, 93 nt
Filed under: Myotis davidii
Lineage: Eukaryota; Metazoa; Chordata; Mammalia; Chiroptera; Vespertilionidae
Source: RNAcentral
UUUUAAAAAAAGGAUAAAAUUGGAACGAUACAGAGAUUAGCAUGGGCCCUGUGCAAGGAUGACGUGUGAAUUCGGGAAGUGGUCCUUAUUUUA